CCCUUAGAUGUUCUGGGCCGCACGCGUGCUACACUGAGUAAUUCAAUGGGUAAGGGAACGCUAGAGCAUUACCUAAUCUUGAAAUUUGCUCGUGAUGGGGAUCGACGGUUGCAAUUCUCCGUCGUGAACGAGGAAUACCUUGUAGGCGCAUGUCAUCAUCAUGCGCCGAAUACGUCCCUGCCCUUUGUACACACCGCCCGUCGCUCCUACCGAUUGAGUGAUCCGGUGAGGCUCUGGGACCUGGACGGAAAGAGCGUUUCGCUUGUUCUGUUUGGGAAACUUGGUCGAACCUUAUCAUUUAGAGGAAGGAGAAGUCGUAACA
This 322-nucleotide ribosomal RNA is filed under the name uncultured eukaryote. RNAcentral describes it as "partial 18S ribosomal RNA". It matches the Rfam family "Eukaryotic small subunit ribosomal RNA", at positions 1470 to 1796 of the family's 1831-position model. The record is from RNAcentral.